AACGAACGCUGGCGGCGCGCUUAACACAUGCAAGUCGAACGAGAAGGCGUAGCAAUACGCUUGUACAGUGGCGAACGGGUGAGUAACACGUGGGUGACCUACCCUCGAGUGGGGAAUAACCCGCCGAAAGGCGGGCUAAUGCCGCGUACGCUUCCAGGUUUGCGGAUCUGGAAGGAAAGCCAUGCCGUGGGCAUGGCGCUCAAGGAUGGGCUCACGUCCUAUCAGCUUGUUGGUAGGGUAACGGCCUACCAAGGGAACGACGGGUAGCUGGUCUGAGAGGACGAUCAGCCACACUGGCACUGCGACCCGGGCCAGACUCCUACGGGAGGCAGCAGUGAGGAAUAUUGCGCAAUGGGCGAAAGCCUGACGCAGCGACGCCGCGUGGGGGAUAAAGGUCUUCGGAUUGUAAACCCCUUUCGGGAGGGAAGAUGGGACGGGCAACCGUUCGGACGGUACCUCCAGAAGCAGCCACGGCUAACUUCGUGCCAGCCGCCGCCGUAA
RNAcentral lists this ribosomal RNA (501 nucleotides) under uncultured bacterium. Its description in RNAcentral is "partial 16S ribosomal RNA". It matches the Rfam family "Bacterial small subunit ribosomal RNA", at positions 29 to 523 of the family's 1533-position model. The record is from RNAcentral.